GGUAUAUAGCUCAGUUGGUAGAGUCCUUGCCUUGCAUGCACAAGGCCCUGGGUUUGAUCCCCAGCACCA
RNAcentral lists this transfer RNA (69 nucleotides) under Marmota marmota marmota (Alpine marmot). It matches the Rfam family "tRNA". Rfam says of the family: Transfer RNA (tRNA) molecules are approximately 80 nucleotides in length. Their secondary structure includes four short double-helical elements and three loops (D, anti-codon, and T loops). RNAcentral also lists the same sequence under 2 other names. Lineage: Eukaryota; Metazoa; Chordata; Mammalia; Rodentia; Sciuridae. The record is from Rfam by way of RNAcentral.